GUGUGCGGUCCGGCGUUGGUGGGUUAUCAUUCACUCCUCCCUUCGGGGGAUUUCCCAUUGGCACAAACUCGACCGUAUU
This 79-nucleotide small RNA is filed under the name Necator americanus (New World hookworm). RNAcentral describes it as "Nematode sRNA ceN72-3_ceN74-2". It matches the Rfam family "Nematode sRNA ceN72-3_ceN74-2". The record is from Rfam by way of RNAcentral. Lineage: Eukaryota; Metazoa; Nematoda; Chromadorea; Rhabditida; Ancylostomatidae.